CAACUUGAGACAGGAUUCAUAAACGCUGAUUUUAGUAACCCUUACCCACCGCCCUUGGUGGGAACUUCGGCUCUGUGAGAAUUGGUCUUUGGGGGACUGAUGGUGAUGCUGAAAUCUUGUUGCAUAGGAAAUUAAGUACAACAAAGAAGACCCGUCGUGAGAGGAGAAUGCGGAAGAAAUGAGAAGUCUACGGGAGGUGGCAGCUGCAGAAGCUUGGAGUUGGAUUUGGAGUUAGGAGACCCGGAGGAGCCCAGCUUUCGGUUCAGAGGGUUAUCUUGUUGACUUGCACGACUGCAAACGCCCUGAGCUACUUUUGCAUUCUGAAACAUCAGCAAUCCCAUCAAAAUACUCUGUUUCUUGGGAUGUAAGAAACAUCCCAAGGCGGGAUUUAAAGCGGGAGAUUUGGACUCGAUUUAAAUACAGACAAUGUAGUAUGCAUUUACUAACACCACAUCUCACCCCUACUAAACUCGGCCUGGCCCCCUUAUCAAGACAACUGAAGGACCUCCCAGCUCUAGAGCUUCCUGAAGGAGCAGCUGAGACGACGGAGCUUGCAGGACUGGAAGUUACUCUGGAUACUUUUAGCUGAUACAAAGUCAGAGGUCUCAGCCCUCAGGAAAUGUUGACAGCUGGCGAAAUGCUGAAAGGUAUAUAUUGGGUAGAAGAGCAUUAUGUAUGGAACUUCUCACGAAACAGGGCUGAAGCAGUGCCUACUCAAUAGAACCGGUCAUCGUGCAAAGAAAUGCCACCUGACUCAAAGGCAAAGCCAGAGUGCAGCUUGGAGCAAAGAAAGUACUUUUAUUAAGAAUUUUAUAUAAACCAUAAGAUAUAUUUUAUAUUACUUUGUGCACCUUCUUGUUAUCUUAAUUCUUUUUGAGAGAAUUCAUUUCAUUUUCAUUUGGUUUGCUUUCUUCUUGUUACAAAGAUGAUCUGUAGAAAAUAUAGAAGUAGACUGGGCACGGUGGCUCAAGCCUGUAAUCCCAGCACUUUGGGAGGCUGAGAUGGGCAGACCACAAAGUCAGAAGCACAAAAGCUUUGUGUUUCUACAGAUAUUAGACUUGUUUCUUGUUUAACAAAAAAAAAUUUGUAACAAUAACAUAAGAGAAUAAAAGAAAUGUUUUU
Molecule: non-coding RNA, 1122 nt
Organism: Macaca mulatta (Rhesus monkey)
Lineage: Eukaryota; Metazoa; Chordata; Mammalia; Primates; Cercopithecidae
Source: RefSeq, a predicted model, not a curated record